RNAcentral lists this ribosomal RNA (874 nucleotides) under Elaphomyces papillatus var. striatosporus. RNAcentral's name for it is "LSU rRNA". It matches the Rfam family "Eukaryotic large subunit ribosomal RNA", at positions 68 to 946 of the family's 3401-position model. The record is from RNAcentral. Lineage: Eukaryota; Fungi; Ascomycota; Eurotiomycetes; Eurotiales; Elaphomycetaceae.
ACCGGGAUUGCCUCAGUAACGGCGAGUGAAGCGGCAAGAGCUCAAAUUUGAAAUCUGGCCCCUCCCCGGGGUCCGAGUUGUAAUUUGGAGAGGAUGCUUCGGGCGCGGCCCCGGUCCAAGUGCCCUGGGACGGGCCGUCGGAGAGGGUGAGAAUCCCGUCUGCGACCGGUGGCCGGGCCUGGGUGAAGCUCCCUCGACGAGUCGAGUUGUUUGGGAAUGCAGCUCUAAAUGGGUGGUAAAUUUCAUCUAAAGCUAAAUAUGGGCCGGAGACCGAUAGCGCACAAGUAGAGUGAUCGAAAGAUGAAAAGCACUUUGGAAAGAGAGUCAAACAGCACGUGAAAUUGUUGAAAGGGAAGCGCUUGCGAUCAGACUCGCCCGGGGAGGUUCAGCCGGCACUUGUGCCGGUGCAUUCCUGCCCGGGCGGGCCAGCGUCGGUUUGGACGGCCCGUCAAAGGCUCCCGGAAGGUAGCGCCCCGCUCGGGGCGUCUUAUAGCCGGGGGUGCCAUGCGGCCUGUCCGGACCGAGGAACGCGCCUUCGGGCUCGGACGCUGGCGUAAUGGUCGUAAGCGGCCCGUCUUGAAACACGGACCAAGGAGUCUAACAUCCACGCGAGUGUUCGGGUGUUCAAAACCCGUCCGCGCAGUGAAAGCGAACGGAGGUGGGAACCCCCUUCCCGGGGGGUGCACCAUCGACCGAUCCUGAUGUCUUCGGAUGGAUUUGAGUAGGAGCGUGGCUGUUGGGACCCGAAAGAUGGUGAACUAUGCCUGAAUAGGGCGAAGCCAGAGGAAACUCUGGUGGAGGCUCGCAGCGGUUCUGACGUGCAAAUCGAUCGUCAAAUUUGGGUAUAGGGGCGAAAGACUAAUCGAACCAUCUG